Molecule: transfer RNA, 64 nt
Filed under: Echinococcus granulosus
Lineage: Eukaryota; Metazoa; Platyhelminthes; Cestoda; Cyclophyllidea; Taeniidae
Description: tRNA-His
Source: RNAcentral
UUACUAAUAGGUUAGUUAAACUGGCAGAUUGUGGUUUUGUUGAAUACUGGUUUGUAUUAGUAAU